GACGAACGCUGGCGGCGUGCUUAACACAUGCAAGUCGAGCGGGAUUUGAGAGCUUGCUCUCAAAUCUAGCGGCGGACGGGUGAGUAACACGUGGGUAAUCUGCCCUCAAGUGGGGAAUAACACAGAGAAAUCUGUGCUAAUACCGCAUAAUGUAUGCUAGUCGCAUGGCUGGCAUAAAAAAGAUUUAUUGCUUGAGGAUGAGCCCGCGGCCCAUUAGCUAGUUGGUGAGGUAAAGGCCCACCAAGGCCACGAUGGGUAGCCGACCUGAGAGGGUGAUCGGCCACAUUGGAACUGAGACACGGUCCAGACUCCUACGGGAGGCAGCAGUGGGGAAUAUUGCACAAUGGGGGAAGCCCCGAUGCAGCAACGCCGCGUGAGCGACGAAGGCCUUCGGGUUGUAAAGCUCUGUCUUCGCUGACGAAUAAAUGACGGUAAGCGAGGAGGAAGCCACGGCUAACUACGUGCCAGCAGCCGCGGUAAUACGUAGGUGGCAAGCGUUGUCCGGAAUUAUUGGGCGUAAAGGGUGCGUAGGCGGUUUUUUAAGUGGGAUGUGAAAUACCUAGGCUUAACUUAGGAAUGGCAUUCCAAACUGGAAGACUAGAGUGCAGGAGAGGAAAGUGGAAUUCCCAGUGUAGCGGUGAAAUGCGUAGAGAUUGGGAGGAACACCAGUGGCGAAGGCGACUUUCUGGACUGUAACUGACGCUGAGGCACGAAAGCGUGGGGAGCAAACAGGAUUAGAUACCCUGGUAGUCCACGCUGUAAACGAUGAGUACUAGGUGUGGGGGGCGAAGCCCUCUGUGCCGCAGUUAACACAAUAAGUACUCCGCCUGGGAAGUACGAUCGCAAGAUUAAAACUCAAAGGAAUUGACGGGGCCCGCACAAGCAGCGGAGCAUGUGGUUUAAUUCGAAGCAACGCGAAGAACCUUACCAGGGCUUGACAUCCAAAGAAUCCUGUGGAAACAU
RNAcentral lists this ribosomal RNA (963 nucleotides) under uncultured bacterium. RNAcentral describes it as "bacterial SSU rRNA". It matches the Rfam family "Bacterial small subunit ribosomal RNA", at positions 28 to 1009 of the family's 1533-position model. The record is from RNAcentral.